CGCGGGAAGCAGGCAGAUCCUCUUCGGAGGUGACGCCUGUGGAACGAGCGGCGGACGGGUGAGUAACACGUGGGCAACCUGCCUGUAAGAUUGGGAUAACCCCGGGAAACCGGGGCUAAUACCGGAUAAUACUUUUCGUUGCAUAACGAGAAGUUGAAAGGCGGCUUUUAGCUGUCACUUACAGAUGGGCCCGCGGCGCAUUAGCUAGUUGGUAAGGUAACGGCUUACCAAGGCGACGAUGCGUAGCCGACCUGAGAGGGUGAUCGGCCACACUGGGACUGAGACACGGCCCAGACUCCUACGGGAGGCAGCAGUAGGGAAUCUUCCGCAAUGGACGAAAGUCUGACGGAGCAACGCCGCGUGAGUGAUGAAGGUUUUCGGAUCGUAAAACUCUGUUGUCAGGGAAGAACAAGUGCCGUUCGAAUAGGGCGGCACCUUGACGGUACCUGACCAGAAAGCCCCGGCUAACUACGUGCCAGCAGCCGCGGUAAUACGUAGGGGGCAAGCGUUGUCCGGAAUUAUUGGGCGUAAAGCGCGCGCAGGCGGUCCUUUAAGUCUGAUGUGAAAGCCCACGGCUUAACCGUGGAGGGCCAUUGGAAACUGGAGGACUUGAGUACAGAAGAGGAGAGUGGAAUUCCACGUGUAGCGGUGAAAUGCGUAGAGAUGUGGAGGAACACCAGUGGCGAAGGCGACUCUCUGGUCUGUAACUGACGCUGAGGUGCGAAAGCGUGGGGAGCGAACAGGAUUAGAUACCCUGGUAGUCCACGCCGUAAACGAUGAGUGCUAGGUGUUAGGGGGUUUCCGCCCCUUAGUGCUGAAGUUAACGCAUUAAGCACUCCGCCUGGGGAGUACGGCCGCAAGGCUGAAACUCAAAAGAAUUGACGGGGGCCCGCACAAGCGGUGGAGCAUGUGGUUUAAUUCGAAGCAACGCGAAGAACCUUACCAGGUCUUGACAUCCUCUGCCAAUCCUAGAGAUAGGAUGUUCCCUUCGGGGACAGAGUGACAGGUGGUGCAUGGUUGUCGUCAGCUCGGGUCGUGAGAUGUUGGGUUAAGUCCCGCAACGAGCGCAACCCUUGAUCUUAGUUGCCAGCAUUUAGUUGGGCACUCUAAGGUGACUGCCGGUGACAAACCGGAAGAAAGUUGGGGAUGACGUCAAAUCAUCAUGCCCC
Molecule: ribosomal RNA, 1169 nt
Filed under: Virgibacillus salarius
Lineage: Bacteria; Bacillati; Bacillota; Bacilli; Caryophanales; Bacillaceae
Description: bacterial SSU rRNA
Rfam family: Bacterial small subunit ribosomal RNA
Source: RNAcentral